Molecule: ribosomal RNA, 895 nt
Filed under: uncultured Bacillota bacterium
Lineage: Bacteria; Bacillati; Bacillota
Description: bacterial SSU rRNA
Rfam family: Bacterial small subunit ribosomal RNA
Source: RNAcentral
AGAGUUUGAUCCUGGCUCAGGACGAACGCUGGCGGCAUGCCUAACACAUGCAAGUCGAGCGAGAAUUAUUUUAAGGAUUCUUCGGAUGAAUUAAAAUAAGGAAAGCGGCGGACGGGUGAGUAACGCGUGGGAAACCUGCCCUAUACAGGGGAAUAGCUCCGGGAAACCGGGAUUAAUGCCCCAUAAAACUCUAGUACCGCAUGGUACAUGAGUCAAAGUUUUAGCGGUAUAGGAUGGUCCCGCGUCCCAUUAGCUAGUUGGUAAGGUAAAAGCUUACCAAGGCGACGAUGGGUAGCCGGCCUGAGAGGGUGAACGGCCACACUGGAACUGAGACACGGUCCAGACUCCUACGGGAGGCAGCAGUGGGGAAUAUUGCACAAUGGGGGAAACCCUGAUGCAGCGAUGCCGCGUGAGCGAUGAAGGCCUUCGGGUCGUAAAGCUCUGUCCUUAGGGAAGAAUAAUGACGGUACCUAAGGAGGAAGCACCGGCUAACUACGUGCCAGCAGCCGCGGUAAUACGUAGGGUGCAAGCGUUGUCCGGAAUCACUGGGCGUAAAGGGUUCGUAGGCGGCCUAUCAAGUCAGGUGUGAAAGGCAUUGGCUCAACCAAUGUAAGCACUUGAAACUGGUGGGCUUGAGUACUGGAGAGGAGAGUGGAAUUCCUAGUGUAGCGGUGAAAUGCGUAGAUAUUAGGAGGAACACCAGUGGCGAAGGCGACUCUCUGGACAGUUACUGACGCUGAGGAACGAAAGCGUGGGGAGCAAACAGGAUUAGAUACCCUGGUAGUCCACGCCGUAAACGAUGAGUGCUAGGUGUUGGGGGCGACAGUCCUCAGUGCCGCAGCUAACGCAUUAAGCACUCCGCCUGGGGAGUACGGUCGCAAGACUGAAACUCAAA